UACGUAGGGUGCAAGCGUUGUCCGGAAUUAUUGGGCGUAAAGAGCUCGUAGGCGGUUUGUUGCGUCGGCUGUGAAAUCCCGAGGCUCAACCUCGGGUCUGCAGUCGAUACGAGCAAACUAGAGUGUUGCAGGGGAGACUGGAAUUCCUGGUGUAGCGGUGAAAUGCGCAGAUAUCAGGAGGAACACCGGUGGCGAAGGCAGGUCUCUGGGCAACAACUGACGCUGAGGAGCGAAAGCGUGGGGAGCGAACAGG
RNAcentral lists this ribosomal RNA (253 nucleotides) under uncultured bacterium. RNAcentral describes it as "partial 16S ribosomal RNA". It matches the Rfam family "Bacterial small subunit ribosomal RNA", at positions 524 to 776 of the family's 1533-position model. The record is from RNAcentral.